CCCUCCUACAAAGGCAUGUCUAUAGUUCCUUGUCUUUGGACAUGUAAGAAUUGGAGGCACAGAAAUGUGGACUUGGGAGAAAUCUGGGGCUGGCUUGCUCAUCACAGGCUCAACAUCAACCAUGCCACAUAG
Nomascus leucogenys (northern white-cheeked gibbon) is the source of this 132-nucleotide small nucleolar RNA. The record is from Ensembl. Lineage: Eukaryota; Metazoa; Chordata; Mammalia; Primates; Hylobatidae.